RNAcentral lists this unclassified non-coding RNA (244 nucleotides) under Hevea brasiliensis (rubber tree). Lineage: Eukaryota; Viridiplantae; Streptophyta; Magnoliopsida; Malpighiales; Euphorbiaceae. The record is from RNAcentral.
GCUCUAGUGAGGAAGGCGGACGAAGAUAUCGUGGAUGUGCUUCCAAGGUCAGUGGAAAUAGUGAUUGGAGAUGUUGGUGAUGCAAAUACCCUGAAGGCUGCUGUGGAGGGUUGCAAUAAAAUCAUCUAUUGUGCAACUGCUCGUUCCACAAUUACUGCCGAUCUCUUUAGGGUUGAUCAUCAAGGAGUUUACAAUAUCACCAAAGCAUUUCAGGACUAUAAUAAUAAGCUAGCCCAACUUCGAG